UGCUUAAGGAGGGAACGGAUCCAGAUCGUCCAUACGCACGGAAACGCUUCCGGGCUGUCCGAUCACAGGCACUUGGAUUGUCAGUGUGGCCUCUAGCGUGGCAUUGAGUCAACGUCCCUUGCCACGUGGCGUGCUCCAGUUCGUCGGGGCUGCUGAUUGGACGAUCUUACGUAGUGCAAUUUUUCUUAAUUAUAUUUUGACCCUCGAUUUUUAU
Molecule: long non-coding RNA, 214 nt
Filed under: Carica papaya (papaya)
Lineage: Eukaryota; Viridiplantae; Streptophyta; Magnoliopsida; Brassicales; Caricaceae
Description: long non-coding RNA (CPAP_LNC003147)
Source: RNAcentral